CAGAAAACGAUUCUCGCGGGUGCCAGGGAAGCCGGUGCAAGUCCGGCGCGGUGCCGCCACUGUGAGGGGGAGUACCUGCUAAAGGAGCCACUGGUCCAGCACUCAGCAAGAUAUUUACCGCUACGGGUUAAUUUCUUAUAGUAUUAAGAAGUACCCGGAGUAGUGCAGCUAAAGGAGCUGAGUGCUGGACUGGGAAGGCAGCAGGGAGCGUUGAACCCGAGCCAGGAGACCUGCCCGUGGGAUUUCACCGUU
RNAcentral lists this non-coding RNA (252 nucleotides) under Neomoorella glycerini. The record is from RNAcentral. Lineage: Bacteria; Bacillati; Bacillota; Clostridia; Neomoorellales; Neomoorellaceae.